AAGUAUUUAAAAAUACUCAUUUAAUAACUAAAAUAAUAAUACGAUAUAUCGCCGGCGAAGCACAGGCGACGAGCACAAAGUCGUCGACCUAAUCACACGAUAUAUAUAUAUUAUAUAGAUAUAGAAUAAAGGUUGCGAGAAAUGGAUGCAGAGGCGAUUGUGAAGGAAUUGAGAGGGACGUACGGGAGUGGGAAGACGAAGAGUUACGAGUGGAGAGUGUCGCAGUUGAAAGCUUUAUUGAAGAUUGCUGAGAAUCAUGAGAAGGAGAUUACCGAUGCUCUUUAUUCUGACCUCUCUAAGCCUGAACUCGAAGCCUUUAUUCAUGAGGUUUCUAUGAUGAAAACAGCAUGUAAACUUGCAUUGAAGGAACUAAAAUGGUGGAUGAAGCCGGAAAAAGUCAAAACUUCAUUAACCUCGUUUCCUUCAUCAGCUGAAAUAGUUCCAGAACCUCUCGGUGUUGUAUUGGUCAUAUCAGCAUGGAACUACCCGUUCUUGUUGUCCCUUGAUCCAGUGAUUGGAGCUAUUGCUGCUGGUAAUGCUGUAGUUCUGAAACCAUCAGAAAUAGCCCCAGCUACAUCUUCAGUGCUUGCAAAGCUGUUAGGGCAGUAUAUGGAUGUGUCUGCUAUCAGAGUUGUAGAAGGGGCAGUACCUGAGACAACUGCAUUACUAGAGCAAAA
Molecule: unclassified non-coding RNA, 677 nt
Filed under: Hevea brasiliensis (rubber tree)
Lineage: Eukaryota; Viridiplantae; Streptophyta; Magnoliopsida; Malpighiales; Euphorbiaceae
Source: RNAcentral